UAGGAAGGAGCAGUUCGUGUUAUUUUAGCUGCCACUAAAGAGUCCAAGAACGCUCAGGUUCCCCUCCCCCAACUUUAUUUUCAUCAACAUCAUAAACAGAACUGCAAAAAAGUCCACAAAUGGAAGAAAAAGAGACAAACAGGUAGAAGAAAAAGCAAACAAGAGAACAAACAAAGCACUAUACUAAACAAGAUUAUAUGUAAUAAUGCCAGGGUGGCAAUUAAAUGCAUCUCAAUUCUUUUUCUUAGCUGCUUAUCCAUUUCAGAGGAUUAGUGGGGAGGAAGUGAAGGUAGCUAGGAAGAUGAUGAAGAGUAGAAAUGCAACUGAAUGCGUGCAGAAGUGUGGAGAUGUCUAGGAGAGAGGGACUUUUUAACCAGAAGACGUGUACUGGGGCCAAUUUUUAAAGAACAAGGUUGAUGUGCAGAGUUGUAGCAACACUUAAGCCACGAAGCUGUGGGAAAAGGUGUUAAAGUUAGGUUUAGGAAAGACACAUUGGCAUUAGCGAUGCCAAGAAAGGGCAUAUACAGAUGUAAUGUUUGUUUUGAGAUUUUUGAUGGAGAAGUAUAGCUCAGGAGCUGCAGUGUGUCUUUGUGGGUCUAGAGAAAGCGUAUGAUCAGGUACCAAGAGUGGAGGGGCAGAGAAGCACGCGAGGGUGAUGCAGGGUAUGUAUGACGAUAGCAAGACAGUGGUGAGGUGUGCAGCUGGAGUGACAGAUGGCUUCAAGGUGGGGGUGGGAUUACAUCAUGGAUCAGCAUUGAGGCCCUAAUUAUUUGCAGUGAUGGUAGACAGAUAAGGCCAAAAUAGAGUCUCUGUGGACUCUGAUGUCUGCAGAUGACUUUGUGAUCUGUAGUGAGAGUAGAGAGUAGGUGGAAGAGGUAUGCUCUGGAGAGAAGAGGAAUGAAAGUCAGUAGAAGCAAGAAAUAAUACGUGUGUAUGAGAGGGAGACAGGUUUAACACUGGAGCUACAAAGAGCAGAGGUAGUGAAGGCGGACGAGUUUAAAUACCUGGAGUCAACCAUCCAACGCAAAAGAUGGGGCACAAGAGAGGUGAAGUUGAGAGUGCAGAAAACCCGGAGUGGGUAGAGAUGAGUGUCAGGGGUGAUUUGUGACAGAAGCAGAGCAGUCGAAAGAAGAAAAAGAUUCAAUAAGGACAAUGGCUUUAUGUCUUAUUUUUACAUUACAUUAGGAGGUGCUAUAUUGUUUAAACGCAUCAACAAAUCCUUUAUGUGGUUCCUGAUUGUGGAUUUUUACAAAAGUAUUAAAUAAUUACUUUUCUUUCUUAGCUGUUUAUCCAUUUCAGGGUCAUGGUGGGGUUUGAACAUAGCACAGCUGGCGCGGUGUGAGAGGCAGGGUACACCAGCCCAUCACAGGGCUAACACACAACCAUUCACACCUGCAGCCACUUCAGAAUCACCAGUUAUCUUAACCCCAUGCAUGUCUUAGGACUAUGGGAGGAAGCUGGAGUAUCCAGAAGGAACCCAAACAGUCACAGGGAAAAAGUCCCUACCUGGCCAGUGGUUUUAAACAGAGGACCUUCCUGCUAUGAAGGGCAGUAACUAAGCAAAAUCGCCAACAACACAAACACAAAGAGAAGCCCACGGAUCACACAUUUUUGGCCAUGAACCCUGGACGGAGUAAACAGCUACAGCAGGGGAGACAACAGUUUUCAAAGCCUAUCAACACACACGACCAUAUCGGCCCUCUACCAGGACUGAUGGGUGCUGUCACAGUGGCUUCAUCCAUCCUUUAUGCUUCUCCAGCUGUAAAAAUGCUUUAUUAUUUUGAGUGGUAAUAAAAACAGUGUCUCACACAAAUGAUAGCAGUGGACUGAACUACCAGCUUUGAAAACUUUAACUUGAUUGUUUUUGAUAAAUAGUUGUAUUCACGGAGUUCCACUGAGGGGGACCUUUUUCCAUAAAAAGGGAAUCUCCCUUUUCACUCCUGUAAUUUCUCCCUAUGUA
This is a long non-coding RNA of Oreochromis niloticus (Nile tilapia), 1960 nucleotides long. RefSeq lists it as uncharacterized. The transcript is spliced from 2 exons. The record is from RefSeq and is a predicted model, not a curated record. NCBI's taxonomy places the organism in Eukaryota, Metazoa, Chordata, Actinopteri, Cichliformes, Cichlidae.